Armigeres subalbatus is the source of this 521-nucleotide long non-coding RNA. RefSeq lists it as uncharacterized. NCBI's taxonomy places the organism in Eukaryota, Metazoa, Arthropoda, Insecta, Diptera, Culicidae. The transcript is spliced from 3 exons. The record is from RefSeq and is a predicted model, not a curated record.
UGUUUUAAUUCAUUUCUACAGAUUUGAUGUACAUGAAGGUACCAUCAGAUGCCAAAACAUUCUCGUUUCCAAAAAGAAAUGGGUUUUUUUAAAUGUUCAGCUUGUUUUAGUGUAAAUAAUCGGACUUGAAAAAACACCAGUUUUGUGAAAUAUGUAUAUUUGUUUAGAAAUACUACCAGUGAUUACAGGAGUGAGUUAACUUUGUUAUUCAUUUAGACAUUUCCCGACCGGAAGAUCUAAAGAAGCUGAAUCCUUUAGCGGCUAUGGCUGCACAAAAUAUCUGGACGAUCUGGACAAUCGCAGCAAUGUCGCCUGAUAGAAAUAUUUCCAAUUGGAUCGACAGAUUAUUGAUUCCCCUACUACCAUCGAACUAAGGCGCUAGUUGAAAUUUUAUUGAAAUGUAUAUUAAUAUUUCCAGAGUUUUAUGCGAAAAAAAAAAAAACCUCAAUCAAAAAUACCAACAAUAAAUAAACAGAAAAUAUGUACAAUAAAAAAAUGAAAUUCAGCAAAAUAUUUUGAAA